GUGCCAGCCGCCGCGGUAAUACGUAGGUGGCAAGCGUUGUCCGGAUUUAUUGGGCGUAAAGCGAGCGCAGGCGGUUUCUUAAGUCUGAUGUGAAAGCCUUCGGCUCAACCGAAGAAGUGCAUCGGAAACUGGGAAACUUGAGUGCAGAAGAGGACAGUGGAACUCCAUGUGUAGCGGUGAAAUGCGUAGAUAUAUGGAAGAACACCAGUGGCGAAGGCGGCUGUCUGGUCUGUAACUGACGCUGAGGCUCGAAAGCAUGGGUAGCAAACAGGAUUAGAUACCCUGGUAGUCCAUGCCGUAAACGAUGAGUGCUAGGUGUUGGAGGGUUUCCGCCCUUCAGUGCCGCAGCUAACGCAUUAAGCACUCCGCCUGGGGAGUACGACCGCAAGGUUGAAACUCAAAGGAAUUGACGGGGGCCCGCACAAGCGGUGGAGCAUGUGGUUUAAUUCGAAGCAACGCGAAGAACCUUACCAGGUCUUGACAUCCUUUGACCACUCUAGAGAUAGAGCUUUCCCUUCGGGGACAAAGUGACAGGUGGUGCAUGGUUGUCGUCAGCUCGUGUCGUGAGAUGUUGGGUUAGGUCCCGCAACGAGCGCAACCCUUAUUACUAGUUGCCAGCAUUUAGUUGGGCACUCUAGUGAGACUGCCGGUGACAAACCGGAGGAAGGUGGGGACGACGUCAAAUCAUCAUGCCCCUUAUGACCUGGGCUACACACGUGCUACAAUGGAUGGUACAACGAGUCGCGAGACCGCGAGGUUUAGCUAAUCUCUUAAAACCAUUCUCAGUUCGGAUUGUAGGCUGCAACUCGCCUACAUGAAGCCGGAAUCGCUAGUAAUCGCGGAUCAGCAUGCCGCGGUGAAUACGUUCCCGGGCCUUGUACACACCGCCCGU
This 892-nucleotide ribosomal RNA is filed under the name uncultured bacterium. RNAcentral describes it as "bacterial SSU rRNA". It matches the Rfam family "Bacterial small subunit ribosomal RNA", at positions 505 to 1397 of the family's 1533-position model. The record is from RNAcentral.